UACGUAGGGGGCGAGCGUUGUCCGGAAUUAUUGGGCGUAAAGAGCGUGUAGGCGGUUCGGUAAGUCUGCUGUGAAAUCCUGGGGCUCAACCCUGGGCGUGCAGCGGAUACUGCCGGGCUAGAGGGUGGUAGAGGCGAGUGGAAUUCCGAGUGUAGCGGUGAAAUGCGCAGAUAUUCGGAGGAACACCAGUAGCGAAGGCGGCUCGCUGGGCGCAUCCUGACGCUGAGACGCGAAAGCCAGGGGAGCGAACGGG
Molecule: ribosomal RNA, 253 nt
Filed under: uncultured bacterium
Lineage: Bacteria
Description: partial 16S ribosomal RNA
Rfam family: Bacterial small subunit ribosomal RNA
Source: RNAcentral